RNAcentral lists this ribosomal RNA (270 nucleotides) under uncultured Planctomycetota bacterium. RNAcentral describes it as "uncultured planctomycete partial 16S ribosomal RNA". It matches the Rfam family "Bacterial small subunit ribosomal RNA", at positions 927 to 1181 of the family's 1533-position model. The record is from RNAcentral. Lineage: Bacteria; Pseudomonadati; Planctomycetota.
AAGCGGUGGAGCAUGUGGCUUAAUUCGAGGCUACGCGAAGAACCUUAUCCUGGACUUGACAUGUGCGAAAGCGCUAGGAAGUAGCUGCCGGAAACAGCCAGCCAACGGUAUCCAGUCCGGAACCUAGUACAGGUGCUGCAUGGCUGUCGUCAGCUCGUGUCGUGAGAUGUUAGGUUAAGUCCUGUAACGAGCGAAACCCUUGUCCUUAGUUGCAACCGCAAGGGCACUCUAGGGAGACUGCAGGUGUUAAGCCUGAGGAAGGUGGGGAUG